RNAcentral lists this ribosomal RNA (651 nucleotides) under uncultured euryarchaeote. Its description in RNAcentral is "SSU rRNA". It matches the Rfam family "Archaeal small subunit ribosomal RNA", at positions 206 to 859 of the family's 1478-position model. Lineage: Archaea; Methanobacteriati; Methanobacteriota. The record is from RNAcentral.
AGGAUGGGUCUGCGGCCGAUUAGGUUGUUGGUGGGGUAAUGGCCCAACAAGCCUGUAAUCGGUACGGGCUGUGAGAGAAGUAGCCCGGAGAUGGUAUCUGAGACACGAUACCAGGCCCUACGGGGCGCAGCAGGCGCGAAAACUUCGCAAUGUGGGAAAGCACGACGAGGGAAUUCCAAGUGCUAGCACUUUGUAUUAGCUGUUUUUCUGUCUAAAAAACAGAGAGAGUAAGGGCUGGGUAAGACGGGUGCCAGCCGCCGCGGUAAUACCAGCAGCCCAAGUGGUGGCCACUAUUAUUGGGCCUAAAACGUCCGUAGCCGGUUUAGUAAAUCCUUGGGUAAAUCGUGAAGCUCAACUGUACGAAUUCCGGGGAGACUGCUAGACUUGGGACCGGGAGAGGUCAGAGGUACUUCUGGGGUAGGGGUGAAAUCCUGUAAUCCUAGAGGGACCACCAGUGGCGAAGGCGUCUGACCAGAACGGGUCCGACGGCGAGGGACGAAGCCCAGGGGCGCAAACGGGAUUAGAUACCCCGGUAGUCCAAGGUGUAAACGCUGCGGGCUUGGUGUUGGGGGUCCUAUGUGGGCGACCAGUGCCGGAGAGAAGUUGUUAAGCCCGUUGCCUGGGGAGUACGGUCGCAAGACUGAAACUUAA